RNAcentral lists this unclassified non-coding RNA (394 nucleotides) under uncultured Amphinema. RNAcentral describes it as "sequence contains ITS2". The stretch from base 1 to 155 matches the Rfam family "5.8S ribosomal RNA". Lineage: Eukaryota; Fungi; Basidiomycota; Agaricomycetes; Atheliales; Atheliaceae. The record is from RNAcentral.
AACUUUUGGCAAUGGAUCUCUUGGCUCUCGCAUCGAUGAAGAACGCAGCGAAAUGCGAUAAGUAAUGGGAAUUGCAGAUUUUCAGUGAAUCAUCGAAGCUUUGAACGCACCUUGCGCUCCUUGGUAUUCCGAGUAGCAUGCCUGUUUGAGUGUCAUUAAAUCCUCAACCCCACUGAUUCGCUUCAGGGGGAUUGGACUUGGAGUGUGCUGGCGAAGGUCGGCUCCUCUUUAAAUGCAUCAGUGGAGAGAAACUUGCCCCAGUGUGAUAAUCCUGUUGCGCUGUGGGUAGGUGAAAGUCCGCUUCCAACCGUCCUUCACGGGACAAACAUCUCAAUUUGACCUCAAAUCAGGUAGGACUCCCCGCUGAACUUAAGCAUAUCAAUAAGCGGAGGCU